Notolabrus celidotus (New Zealand spotty) is the source of this 1938-nucleotide long non-coding RNA. RefSeq lists it as uncharacterized. NCBI's taxonomy places the organism in Eukaryota, Metazoa, Chordata, Actinopteri, Labriformes, Labridae. The record is from RefSeq and is a predicted model, not a curated record. The transcript is spliced from 7 exons.
UUCCUGGUGGUUUCAGGCUGUGUUCCUGAUGGUUUUGUGGUUUCAGGCUGUGUUCCUGGUGGUUUUGUGGUUUCAGGCUGUGUUCCUGGUGGUUUUGUGGUUUCAGGCUGUGUUCCUGGUGGUUUUGUGGUUUCAGGCUGUGUUCCUGGUGGUUUUGUGGUUUCAGGCUGUGUUCCUGGUGGUUUUGUGGUUUCAGGCUGUGUUCCUGGUGGUUUUGUGGUUUCAGGCUGUGUUCCUGAUGGUUUUGUGUGGUUUCAGGCUUUGCUCCUGGUGGUUUUGUGGUUUCAGGCUGUGUUCCUGAUGGUUUUGUGGUUUCAGGCUGUGUUCCUGAUGGUUUUGUGGUUUCAGGCUGUGUUCCUGAUGGUUUUGUGUGGUCUCAGGCUGUGUUCCUGGUGGUUUUGUGGUUUCAGGCUGUGUUCCUGAUGGUUUUGUGGUUUCAGGCUUUGCUCCUGGUGGUUUUGUGGUUUCAGGCUGUGUUCCUGGUGGUUUUGUGGUUUCAGGCUGUGUUCCUGAUGGUUUUGUGUGGUUUCAGGCUUUGCUCCUGGUGGUUUUGUGGUUUCAGGCUGUGUUCCUGGUGGUUUUGUGGUUUCAGGCUGUGUUCCUGGUGGUUUUGUGGUUUCAGGCUGUGUUCCUGAUGGUUUUGUGUGGUUUCAGGCUUUGCUCCUGGUGGUUUUGUGGUUUCAGGCUGUGUUCCUGGUGGUUUUGUGGUUUCAGGCUGUGUUCCUGGUGGUUUUGUGGUUUCAGGCUGUGUUCCUGGUGGUUUUGUGGUUUCAGGCUGUGUUCCUGAUGGUUUUGUGUGGUUUCAGGCUUUGCUCCUGGUGGUUUCAGGCUGUGCUCCUGGUGGUUUCAUGUGGUUUCAGGCUGUGCUUUUGGUGGUUUUGUGGUUUCAGGCUGUGCUACUGGUGGUUUUGUGGUUUCAGGCUCUGCUCCUGGUGGUUUUGUGGUUUCAGGCUGUCCUUUAAGUGGUUUUUGCUGUGUUGUGCUGAUUUAUGUUACUCACUGUUUGUUCGUUAUUCGCCUUUUUAAAUGCUUUAAUUUGCUGUUUUAAUCUUGAUUCUAACGGUCCCUGAUUGUGCCCUUUGAGAACAGGUCCCCACCCCCCCGGCCUGGCCCCUUAAUCAGCUGAACCUUAAUAUGGAGCACCUGUGGCAAAAUGGCGGCCGUGUCUAGUCUGCCUGCAGGUUGCCACAUGGUCCUCACACUAAGUAGCCUCCUGUGUGCCUCAGAAGAACUGGUGUCUGGUUUGAGUGUUUCCUGUUCCUUUGCUUGAGGUGGAAAGACUUGAGGCCAGUUAACUGGUCUCCAGCCAUGCCCUUGUCCAGUUCCAGAAGAAAGCAGAUGAGCCCAUGAUUUCCUGCUGCCCUCCCACAACCAGCGCUGAUCCUCCUGCAACCAGAUGACUGCGCUACGUUGACUUCAGGAGGAUUUUGCUGUUAUGCUGGUCAACUCCUCCCCCUGGCCUGGCCCCUUAAUCACCUGAACCUUAAUAUGGAGCACCUGUGGCAAAAUGACUGCCAUGUCUUGUCUGCCUGCAGGUUGCCACAUGGUCCUCCACACUAAGGUCAACUCUUCCCUUGCUGCCCUCGUCACCCACACUGCUGAGCGGUCACCAACUCGGGUUCACACCAGUCAUCACUGGAGAAUACCAGCCGACCGGCAGACCACCUGCCCUUCUCUUCAAGCGGCGUGCAGACUUCCUGCUUCACCAACGACGGCUCCCUCAUACCAGUACACACUGAGGUCAAUACCCCCCCCUGCCCACUUUCACUUCACCAGGGUUAACCUUGUCCAGUUCCAGAAGAAAGCAGAUGAGCCCACGGUGUUGUAGAAAGCUUUAUUUUGCAUUGACAUUGAAACACCACCACACAGUGUGUUUUUGAGAGACCUCUCAAACCCCAGAAACUGUCGCUGCUCGGGUGAACUCUGGCCAAUGCGUUA